AGGUUCCAUAUAACAUCUGAAUGCUCACUUUCUGUCUUAAGUAGUAUGUCCUUGUUUCUCUGAAUUUCUUGCAGCGGUUUUGCUUAGGGCUAGGAGUCUGGAUUUGGACCAGCUGCUCCAGCCUGGGACACCUUUCCUGGGUCAGCUUUUGGAAGAGAUCUGACAGAGAAGUACACAUAAUUCCAUGUAUUCCUAAUGUCUAAAGAGCUGGAAUAAUUUCUACAGCUGGGGUGUUCCAAGAAGAGUUCAUGAGGCACUCAGCUGAGGAAAAAAUCUCUGAAUCAUCAUAGAAAUACUGGAGGUGAGUGAGUUAUUGGCCACACCUGCACGAUAGCCUUGAAAAGGUGCUGCAAACCCAAGCCUGAACGGUUGGGAAUCUCAAGUAGUAAGAGGAGCAGCAACAGCAGUAACCACCACUGCCUAGAAGUAACUAGAAAUGUUGUGCAAGAGAGAUCAGAAGCUCAAGUCACAGAUAAUCAAGCUGAGCCCGUGGAACCGCAAGGCCACAAGAUGCUGUGCAGAGAAGACUU
Long non-coding RNA from Dromaius novaehollandiae (emu), 530 nucleotides. RefSeq lists it as uncharacterized. Lineage: Eukaryota; Metazoa; Chordata; Aves; Casuariiformes; Dromaiidae. The transcript has 3 exons. The record is from RefSeq and is a predicted model, not a curated record.